GACGAACUGUGCAAACGUUAUUCGGAAUCACUGGGCUUGAAGAGUGCGUAGGCGGUUUUGUAAGUAGGGUGUGAAAGCCCCCGGCCCAACCGGGGAAUUGCGCCCUAAACUGCAAGGCUGGAGUGAGGUAGGGGUGUGUGGAACUUCUAGUGGAGCGGUGAAAUGUGUUGAUAUUAGAAGGAACGCCGGUGGCGAAAGCGACACACUGGACCUUGUCUGACGCUGAGGCACGAAAGCCAGGGGAGCAAACAGG
This 253-nucleotide ribosomal RNA is filed under the name uncultured bacterium. RNAcentral's name for it is "partial 16S ribosomal RNA". It matches the Rfam family "Bacterial small subunit ribosomal RNA", at positions 524 to 776 of the family's 1533-position model. The record is from RNAcentral.